UACUAGCCCUGUAUGAAUUGAUACAUACAAUUAUUUUACGGUGCGCUUCACCAUAGAUAGAUAGUCUGGUGAGUAAACAAAAAAUAUAAUAUAUAAUGUUUGGAAAAAAGUACACUCUUAACAUCAGUCAGUCAAGCAUUAUAAAUAUAUUAUGAUAAUCAAGUAUUAUUUAAUGAUAGAACUUUAGCAAUUAGAAUUAAAACUUGGUAACCAUGUAUGAAUGCAUAUUAGUCAUUUUAACUGAACUUAGGGAAAAAGGGUGGUGGUGCUUUUUUGAUCAUUCAGUGUUUCUGUAAAAAUGGGGGGAAAAACUAUCAAUAAUACUGAUAAGAUAAUAAUCAUACUAUGAAUUCUACUAAGAACAAUAUAAACGCACUAAGGAUUAAUGAGCUGCUGGGUUCAUGAAUAUUAAUCACGUUGUCUGCGUUUGCUCAAACUGAUUGGCUGAAAUCAAAACAGGGACGAUAAUAGGUGAGCGCCAGCCAAUGAGAUUGGCGUUUGCUCAUUAGCUCCGCCUACUACCGGAGAACCCGGCAGUUAGAAUUCCAAAGGAACUCCACUUUGACAGAAAAAUACAAAAAAGAAUAUCGUUUACAUACCAAGCAGAAUUGACGCUCUACAUGUAAAAGACUCUCUCUCUCUCGCUGCAUGUGAGAAAAAAAGCAAAGCGACGGCGAGUCGUGCGCUUCACACUAGAGCUUACGGUGCGUCAAAUACAGGUGCGCUGCGCAUUCAUUCAGAUGAUCUGAAAAAUAGAUCGCUUGAAUAGAAACUCUGAAGCGCUCAGUCAGAGUGUUCGGCGAGUGACAAUAUAUCUGCGCUAAACUUAUACAUAGCCUCCAACUCACAUACUAUAAAAUCUGAUUAUUUAUCAGCCAGUGGCUAAUAUUAGACAUCACAUAGUCGCCCAGGGUGAAGAUUUAGUCGCAUAUGCAAGUGAUUUACUGGCAAUGUGCUUGCACGUUUGUACUUCUUCGCUGCUCUAAAUAGUGGUUGCUUGUGGCAACACAGCACAGCUUCCUGUGUUUGCAUUCUGAGCAGCGAAGAAGAAUUGAUUUCCGAUUUGCAGCGUUAAGCAAAGCUAGCGCGCAUAACUAUAGGUCUUGUUUAAGAAAAUGGUAUCGGAUCGGUACAUGGGUUCAAGUACUCGCCGAUACCGAUGCCAGAAUGUUUUGUGGUAUCGGUGAAAUUUCCGAUACUAGUAUCGAAAUCGGAACAACCCUAGAAAGUAUAACUGCAUCGGAGUCACUCUUUUUACGUGGUCCGAUGCAGCGCUGGUGUUGAACCAGUGAAUCCGUGCAUGGACCACGGCUGAUGCCUUCUGUGAGCCCAGCACGGAAUUUUCGGCGAUUCCGUGAUGCCACCACAGAUUCGGGGUUAAUUAAGUCUGUGAACAUUACACGGAAUUCUGUGAGAUCAGUUUGACCAAAGUUAUCAACGGCAAGUGUUAAAUAUGCAGUGUUAUACACAACAGUUUGUAAGUGGUGGUAAAUUAAGAGAGAUUUUUUUUGUGGUUUCUCACAGCCGGACAGAAACCUACAAAUUAUAUUUUUAAACUAGAGAGACGGCCGACAGACCAUCUUCCUCAUCUCUAACCGUCACUCGCGCCACAGAUCUGAAGGAAGAGCAAAGGCAGCGAGGGGUGGUGUGAUGUCAUUGGCAACAGGAAGGCUGCAGUACUAAUAUGAGCCUGAAAUGAAGAACAAUAAUUACAUCAGUCAUUCAAGCUAGGAUCUUGGCAGAUCUACUACUAUCUGAAAAGAAGAUUUUUUUU
Onychostoma macrolepis is the source of this 1774-nucleotide long non-coding RNA. RefSeq lists it as uncharacterized. NCBI's taxonomy places the organism in Eukaryota, Metazoa, Chordata, Actinopteri, Cypriniformes, Cyprinidae. The record is from RefSeq and is a predicted model, not a curated record. The transcript has 3 exons.